ACGACCUUACUUGAACAGGAUCUGUUCUAUAGGAUCGUACCGUUGCAUCCUUGAUUAAUAAGGAGGCAAGCACUUAAGCCUGGUUGAUGAGACAUGACCUGUGGGCCAGAGCGUGAUUAACGGCUAUGAGUUCAGCUCUACUGCUUGCUCUGGUUGCUGUAGAGGAUCGUUCCUUGCUCAGGCUUGCCUGGCUGGGGUGGCCUACAGGUUGUCUGACAGGCU
Non-coding RNA from Zea mays, 222 nucleotides. The record is from Rfam. NCBI's taxonomy places the organism in Eukaryota, Viridiplantae, Streptophyta, Magnoliopsida, Poales, Poaceae.